Molecule: long non-coding RNA, 795 nt
Organism: Hemicordylus capensis (graceful crag lizard)
Lineage: Eukaryota; Metazoa; Chordata; Lepidosauria; Squamata; Cordylidae
Exons: 3
Source: RefSeq, a predicted model, not a curated record
GUGAGGGGAGCUGCAAUGCUCCUGCUAGUCUGGCAGGCGGCCUGCUUUACUUCAAAGACUCCAUUGCUGUCAUCUUAGUGUUAACCCCUGAUAACCUUGUCCUUUCGCAGACAGACCUGAAUUUUUAGUGACAUAAUCACACAGCCACAUCUAAUUGGCUACACAACUGUCAUCCCGUUCACUAUGGGAUCCCUGAUUGGAUCAAUCGCCCUUGAUUAUCUAGGAAAGAGGAAGCAGCAGCUGCCAGUGGAAACAAUGGUCUUGGUCAAGAUUUCAGAAGAAUCAAGUCACUGGCUCCAGACUCCGAAUCUUCCUCCCACCCUGAACUGAGCCUCAUUCAUUAGCUGGAACCGCUGCAGCUUGGGAAAAGCCAGGAAGAAAAACAGCAAACAGAGCAAGUGAAAGAGAGACUCAGAUUGGUUAUUUUCGAGGGGGAAACACUUGGGCAGCAUGUCUCUCUCCCUCUCCCGUGUAUUUCUCUCAUCAUUCCAUACUGGCCACCCUCCCACAUCCUCUCGGCAACGCUAUAUCCACACCUCUGCCAUUCAUCAGGGAGAGUACUUUCAGCCACAUGAAGCAGAACGAAAUAGUGAGCCCUUUCUCACGAUCAUGUGAGUGGGCUUGGCAAUGGGGAAAGCUAGAGAAGCUCGCCUUCCCCACAAACGGUUCUGGUGCCAGGUAUGGACGCAUGGAUCGCACGGCCAGAUGUUCCGCUGCUGCCCCAGGCAGUGCAAAGACGGAUCCUCCCGGCCCCAGGAGAUCCCACCAUGUAUCACGCAAGGCAGGGUUUCUUAA